This 446-nucleotide ribosomal RNA is filed under the name uncultured bacterium. RNAcentral describes it as "partial 16S ribosomal RNA". It matches the Rfam family "Bacterial small subunit ribosomal RNA", at positions 338 to 795 of the family's 1533-position model. The record is from RNAcentral.
CCUACGGGUGGCUGCAGUCGAGAAUCAUUCACAAUGGGGGAAACCCUGAUGGUGCGACGCCGCGUGGGGGAAUGAAGGUCUUCGGAUUGUAAACCCCUGUCAUGUGGGAGCAAAUUAAAAAGAUAGUACCACAAGAGGAAGAGACGGCUAACUCUGUGCCAGCAGUCUCGGUAAUACAGAGGUCGCAAGCGUUGUUCGGAAUCACUGGGCGUAAAGCGUGCGUAGGCUGUUUCGUAAGGCGUGUGUGAAAGGCGCGGGCUCAACCCGCGGACGGCACAUGAGACUGGGAGGCUUGAGUAAGGGAGGGGGAAGCGGAAUUCUCGGUGUAGCAGUGAAAUGCGUAGAUAUCGAGAGGAACACUGGUGGCGAAGGCGGGUUCCUGGACAUUAACUGACGCUGAGGCACGAAGGCGAGGGGAGCGAAAGGGAUUAGAUACCCGAGUAGUC